Molecule: ribosomal RNA, 426 nt
Filed under: uncultured bacterium
Lineage: Bacteria
Description: bacterial SSU rRNA
Rfam family: Bacterial small subunit ribosomal RNA
Source: RNAcentral
UGGGGAAUAUUGGACAAUGGGCGCAAGCCUGAUCCAGCAAUGCCGCGUGUGUGAAGAAGGCCUUCGGGUUGUAAAGCACUUUUAUCAGGAGCGAAAUCUGCAGGGCUAAUACCCAUGCAGUCUGACGGUACCUGAGGAAUAAGCACCGGCUAACUCCGUGCCAGCAGCCGCGGUAAUACGGAGGGUGCAAGCGUUAAUCGGAAUUACUGGGCGUAAAGCGUGCGUAGGCGGUUGGUUAAGUCUGCUGUGAAAGCCCCGGGCUCAACCUGGGAAUGGCAGUGGAUACUGGCUAGCUAGAGUGUGAUAGAGGAUGGUGGAAUUCCCGGUGUAGCGGUGAAAUGCGUAGAGAUCGGGAGGAACAUCAGUGGCGAAGGCGGCCAUCUGGAUCAACACUGACGCUGAGGCACGAAAGCGUGGGGAGCAAAC